RNAcentral lists this ribosomal RNA (253 nucleotides) under uncultured bacterium. RNAcentral describes it as "partial 16S ribosomal RNA". It matches the Rfam family "Bacterial small subunit ribosomal RNA", at positions 524 to 776 of the family's 1533-position model. The record is from RNAcentral.
GACAGAGGGUGCAAACGUUGUUCGGAAUUACUGGGCGUAAAGCGCGUGUAGGCGGCUAAGUAAGUCGGGCGUGAAAUCCCACGGCUCAACCGUGGAAGUGCACUCGAAACUGCAUAGCUAGAGUCCUGGAGAGGAAGGUGGAAUGCUUGGUGUAGAGGUGAAAUUCGUAGAUAUCAAGAGGAACACCUGAGGUGAAGACGGGUUGCUGGGCUGACACCGACGCUGAGGCGCGAAAGCUAGGGUAGCAAACGGG